RNAcentral lists this ribosomal RNA (1369 nucleotides) under Enterococcaceae bacterium. Its description in RNAcentral is "partial 16S ribosomal RNA". It matches the Rfam family "Bacterial small subunit ribosomal RNA". Lineage: Bacteria; Bacillati; Bacillota; Bacilli; Lactobacillales; Enterococcaceae. The record is from RNAcentral.
UCCCUUCUUCUUUUUUUUCCUUCCUCCCUUCCCCGGGUUCCUUCCCAGCUGGUGGGGAGGGGCUCUUAAUUAUUUUUUUUUUCAGGGGUUCCAAAAAAGGAGGAAUGGUAUUAAGUGGUUCCCUCCUAGGGGGAUACGGGAAGGGGUUUAACGUUAAAAUGAAACGGGUUUUUAUAAAGGUCUUGGGUUCGUGGGAAGACCGGGCUCUAAUGGUGGGGGUAAGCUUCCAUCCAUAGCGACCUGAGAGGCUGAUCGCCCAAUGGGAUGAACAGGCCCAUCCUAGGGGGCAGCGUAGGAUUUGGCCAGGAGAAGUUUACCGAAAAGCCGCUGAGGGAGAAGUUUUGGAUGGUAAACUUGUUUUAGGAAGAACAGGAUGAGGUAACGUUCAUCCCGGAGGGAUUUACCGAAAGCCAGGCUAUUAGGGCCGGCGGCGGGGUAAUAGUAGGGGCCAGGUUGUCGGAUUUUUGGGGUAAACGAGGCCGGGGGUUUUUAAGUUGAAGGAAAGCCCCGGCUCAACGGGGGGGUCAUGGAAACGGGAGACUGAGGCCGAAGAGGAGAGGGAAUUCCAGGGGAGGGGGAAAGGGUAAAAUAGGGGGAACACCAGGGGGAGGGGGCUCUCUGUUCGUAACGACGGGAGGCUGAAAGCUGGGGAGCAACCGGGUUAGAUACCCGGUGUCCAGCCGUAAAGGUGAGUGCUAAGGUGGAGGGUUUCCCCCUUCAGUGCUGCAGCUAACGCAUUAGCACUCGGCCUGGGAGUAGGACGCAAGGUGAAACUCAAGGGAAUGAUGGGGCCCGCACCAGCGUGGAGCAUGUGGUUUAAUUGGAAGCAACGCGAAGAACCUUACCAGGUCUAGACAUCCUUGGACCACUCUAGAGAUAGAGCUUCCCCUUCCGGGCAAAGCGACUGAUAUUGCAUGGUGGUCGUCAGCUAGAGUCAUGAGAUGUGGGAUUAAGUCCCGCAACGAGCCCAACCCUUAUUGUUAGUGGCCAUCAUUCACCAGGGCACUCUAGCAAAACCGCCGGGGACAAACCGGAGGAAGUUGGGGAUGAGCUCAAAUCAUCAAGCCCCUUAUGACCUGGGUUACACACCUGUUACAAGGGGAAGUACACCGAGUUGGUAAGUCGGGAGGAUAAGCUAAUCUCUUAAAGGUUCUCUCAGUUCGGAUUGCAGGCUGCAACUGGCCUGCAUGAAGCGGGAAUCGCUGGUAAUCGGGGAUCAGCACGCCGCGGGGAAUACGUUCCCGGGCCUGGUACACACCGCCCGUCACACCACGAAAGUUAGUAACAACCGAAGUCGGUGAGGUAACCUUUGGGAGCCAGCCGCCUAAGGUGGGAUAGAUAUUGGGGGAAGUCUAACAAGGGCCUACUC